This is a long non-coding RNA of Hyalella azteca, 421 nucleotides long. RefSeq lists it as uncharacterized. The record is from RefSeq and is a predicted model, not a curated record. The transcript is spliced from 3 exons. NCBI's taxonomy places the organism in Eukaryota, Metazoa, Arthropoda, Malacostraca, Amphipoda, Hyalellidae.
UCAAAGAGGAACCAUUCUUAUAUGGAGAUGAGGCAUCUCCAAAUCAACAUCUUCCUGGUUUAACAUGCAAGACAGAAGUAAAAGUUGAGGCUCCAGACGUCCACCUUAACUCCACACAAGACAUUUCUGCUUUGUUGUUAAAUCAGUUUGUCAAAGGUGGGUCAGCAACGGCAUCAGGAGAUGCUGCUGGCGGCGCUGGCGUCUCUGGGGCGUACAGCUCCACAUAUAAGCCUGUACAAUGCUCUGAGUGUGAUUAUGCUUGUAGCACAAAAGGGGCUUUGAAAAGUCAUAUCCUUUACAAACAUCCACUAUAUAAGCUUGUACAAUGCUCUGAGUGUGAUUAUGGUUGUAUCACAAAAGUGGAAUUGAAGAGACAUUUCCUCUUCAAACAUUCAACAAAAAAACCUGUACUAUGCACUGA